This 504-nucleotide unclassified non-coding RNA is filed under the name Hevea brasiliensis (rubber tree). The record is from RNAcentral. Lineage: Eukaryota; Viridiplantae; Streptophyta; Magnoliopsida; Malpighiales; Euphorbiaceae.
AAAACACAGUUGGCAAUCUGUGGCAGUGUGGGUUGACUAAUUAAGUACAUGAACAAUAAUUUUUCAAACUAAUAAAGUCUUAUGUAGUUUAAUUAGGAAAAUACAAGUCUGUCAAAAGAAGCUAAUCCUAUUGUUUUGUCUUCUGGUGUGGUAGUCAUUUUAAUAAUUGGUAAAACAAUGCAGUCUAACCCAAAUAAAUUGAUGAUGUUAGAGUGUGAUAUGGCAGACACAUGAGGCCAAAGAAUCAAAGGUGGAAUUUUUGGCUGCCAGCAGCACCUGGAAGUGGACAAUGUGCAAUGUGCUGUAAUUCUAAUCCUAGGUAGAAAAAUAGGAGGAAGAGAUAUAACACAUAUCUCUAGUGCAUCACACUCAGGCUGACUGAAACCAAUUGCAAAUAGUCGGUGGGUCGUCACUCCUUGGUUGUUUUCUGUCUUCUUCUUGGUGUCCUUAAUUACUCCAACAAAUGAUGCAUUCUCUAUUCUUACCUCUUGCCCUAUAUCUGAA